Molecule: ribosomal RNA, 208 nt
Filed under: uncultured bacterium
Lineage: Bacteria
Description: partial 16S ribosomal RNA
Rfam family: Bacterial small subunit ribosomal RNA
Source: RNAcentral
UACGGGGGGGGCAAGCGUUGUUCGGAAUUACUGGGCGUAAAGGGCUCGUAGGCGGCCAACUAAGUCAGACGUGAAAUCCCCAGGCUUAACCUGGGAACUGCGUCUGAUACUGGAUGGCUUGAUUCGGGAGAGGGAUGCGAAUUCCAGGUGUAGCGGUGAAAUGCGUAGAUAUCUGGAGGAACACCGGUGGCGAAGGCGGCAUCCUGGA